Molecule: non-coding RNA, 175 nt
Filed under: Acinetobacter qingfengensis
Lineage: Bacteria; Pseudomonadati; Pseudomonadota; Gammaproteobacteria; Moraxellales; Moraxellaceae
Source: Rfam by way of RNAcentral
AAGAUUUUAUACCCAUAUUGAAAUAUUAGGAGGACGUCAUGCUUUUAUCUGGAAAACCUAACUUAAACUGAUUAAGCAUACGUCUGCUCACGGACAUAGGUUUAAUCACUGAUAUGUCCGAAUGCAAAGCAAUCAAGAUCUGGCAUUCGCCGGAUUUUUUUAUGUCUAGAUUUUA